Molecule: long non-coding RNA, 384 nt
Organism: Phyllopteryx taeniolatus (common seadragon)
Lineage: Eukaryota; Metazoa; Chordata; Actinopteri; Syngnathiformes; Syngnathidae
Exons: 2
Source: RefSeq, a predicted model, not a curated record
AAGCCACUAUGGCCAAGACCAACGAGCUGACAAAGGACACCAGAAACAAAACUGUAGACCUGCACCAGCCUGGGAAGACUGAAUCUGCAAUAGCUGCCGUCAUCCACAAUCUGGUACGUGCGCAACCUACUUCAGCAGUUGGCAAAACGGGUCGAAGCACUUCCUCCUGGCUGGGAUGAAUGGCGAAGGGGACAGUGACAAAACACACGGAAUUUUAAAUGGCUACAGUGUCUUUUUUAAAACAAGACUUCACUACAAAAGGUGUUUAGGCCUUGUUUGUGUUUAAUUAUAUCAUAUUUGUAUAAAUAAAUGAUAUACGGUACAUGCAUUUAACUUUUGUGUAAAGACACCAGUUAUAAAGAAGAAAUUUUUUUUUUUUUUCAA